RNAcentral lists this unclassified non-coding RNA (319 nucleotides) under Hevea brasiliensis (rubber tree). Lineage: Eukaryota; Viridiplantae; Streptophyta; Magnoliopsida; Malpighiales; Euphorbiaceae. The record is from RNAcentral.
AUUUUUGGUCCUUUUGUGUGGGGGAGGGGGAGCAGGUCUGGAGACUGCUUUCAAUAAGUCAUACCAAAAGAAGGAUACAGGAGAAAUUAUAGCAUUUAGAUUGUUAGGAACACACCCUUUAUGAACUGGAGUGCUAUUACUCGCCACUUCAUCAUCCUUUCUAUCUUCAGACGUUGAGUUUCCAUCAGUCCUUUUGUUUGCGACAUCAGAUUCACCUUCUAUGUCUUCAAUUUCUUUGAUUUCGCUUACAAUAUGGGAAAUCUUUUGACCUUGGCUUUCCGCUUUUUCAAUGUUUGUGCUCUCUUGGUGUACUAAUUCA